GCCACAGUGGUGUAGCGGUCUAACAUUACGGUGUACUGGAUAGACCCGAGACGCGGGUUCAAAUCCCGCCUGAGCCA
RNAcentral lists this transfer RNA (77 nucleotides) under Nippostrongylus brasiliensis. It matches the Rfam family "tRNA". Rfam says of the family: Transfer RNA (tRNA) molecules are approximately 80 nucleotides in length. Their secondary structure includes four short double-helical elements and three loops (D, anti-codon, and T loops). Further hydrogen bonds mediate the characteristic L-shaped molecular structure. tRNAs have two regions of fundamental functional importance: the anti-codon, which is responsible for specific mRNA codon recognition, and the 3' end, to which the tRNAs corresponding amino acid is attached (by aminoacyl-tRNA synthetases). tRNAs cope with the degeneracy of the genetic code in two manners: having more than one tRNA (with a specific anti-codon) for a particular amino acid; and 'wobble' base-pairing, i.e. permitting non-standard base-pairing at the 3rd anti-codon position. Lineage: Eukaryota; Metazoa; Nematoda; Chromadorea; Rhabditida; Heligmosomidae. The record is from Rfam by way of RNAcentral.